UAGGGAAUCUUCCACAAUGGACGAAAGUCUGAUGGAGCAGCGCCGCGUGAGUGAAGAAGGGUUUCGGCUCGUAAAACUCUGUUGUUAAAGAAGAACAUAUCUGAGAGUAACUGUUCAGGUAUUGACGGUAUUUAACCAGAAAGCCACGGCUAACUACGUGCCAG
This 164-nucleotide ribosomal RNA is filed under the name uncultured bacterium. RNAcentral describes it as "partial 16S ribosomal RNA". It matches the Rfam family "Bacterial small subunit ribosomal RNA", at positions 355 to 511 of the family's 1533-position model. The record is from RNAcentral.